UAGCAAUACCCGGCCUAGAGUGGCGCAAGGGUGCGCAACACGUAUGCAACCUGCCCACGGCCGGGGCACAGCCCCCCGAAAGGGGGAUUAACGCCCCAUAGGAAUAGGGGACGGCAUCGUCCUUUAUUUAAACCACGGGGCCGUGGAUGGGCAUGCGCUUGAUUAGCUAGUUGGCGGGGCAACGGCCCACCAAGGCGAUGAUCAAUAGGGGACCUGAGAGGGUGAUCCCCCACACUGGCACUGAGAUACGGGCCAGACUCCUACGGGAGGCAGCAGUAGGGAAUAUUGGACAAUGGGUGCGAGCCUGAUCCAGCCAUGCCGCGUGCAGGAAGAAGGCCUUCUGGGUUGUAAACUGCUUUUGCCGGGGGAUAAAAGACCCAUGCGUGGGGAAUUGAAGGUACCCGGUGAAUAAGCCACGGCUAACUACGUGCCAGCAGCCGCGGUAAUACGUAGGUGGCGAGCGUUGUCCGGAUUUAUUGGGUUUAAAGGGUGCGUAGGCGGUCCAUUAAGUCAGUGGUGAAAUACGGCAGCUCAACUGUCGAGGUGCCAUUGAUACUGAAGGACUUGAGUACAGUCGAGGUAGGCGGAAUUGACGGUGUAGCGGUGAAAUGCUUAGAUAUCGUCAAGAACACCGAUAGCGAAGGCAGCUUGCUAGGCUGUAACUGACGCUGAGGCACGAAGGUGCGGGGAUCAAACAGGAUUAGAUACCCUGGUAGUC
RNAcentral lists this ribosomal RNA (718 nucleotides) under uncultured Bacteroidota bacterium. RNAcentral's name for it is "bacterial SSU rRNA". It matches the Rfam family "Bacterial small subunit ribosomal RNA", at positions 77 to 795 of the family's 1533-position model. Lineage: Bacteria; Pseudomonadati; Bacteroidota. The record is from RNAcentral.